RNAcentral lists this ribosomal RNA (483 nucleotides) under uncultured bacterium. RNAcentral describes it as "partial 16S ribosomal RNA". It matches the Rfam family "Bacterial small subunit ribosomal RNA", at positions 29 to 507 of the family's 1533-position model. The record is from RNAcentral.
UUGAACGCUGGCGGCAUGCUUUACACCUGCAAGUCGAACGGCAGCGCGGGCUUCGGCCUGGCGGCGAGUGGCGAACGGGUGAGUAAUGCAUCGGAACGUGCCCAGUAGUGGGGGAUAGCCCGGCGAAAGCCGGAUUAAUACCGCAUACGACCUGAGGGUGAAAGCGGGGGACCGAAAGGCCUCGCGCUAUUGGAGCGGCCGAUGUCGGAUUAGCUAGUUGGUGGGGUAAAGGCUUACCAAGGCGACGAUCCGUAGCUGGUCUGAGAGGACGACCAGCCACACUGGGACUGAGACACGGCCCAGACUCCUACGGGAGGCAGCAGUGGGGAAUUUUGGACAAUGGGGGAAACCCUGAUCCAGCAAUGCCGCGUGCGGGAAGAAGGCCUUCGGGUUGUAAACCGCUUUUGUUCGGGAAGAAAUCCUCUGGGCUAAUACCCCGGGGGGAUGACGGUACCGGAAGAAUAAGCACCGGCUAACUACGUG